RNAcentral lists this ribosomal RNA (443 nucleotides) under uncultured Acidimicrobiales bacterium. Its description in RNAcentral is "bacterial SSU rRNA". It matches the Rfam family "Bacterial small subunit ribosomal RNA", at positions 337 to 796 of the family's 1533-position model. Lineage: Bacteria; Bacillati; Actinomycetota; Acidimicrobiia; Acidimicrobiales. The record is from RNAcentral.
UCCUACGGGUGGCAGCAGUGGGGAAUUUUGCGCAAUGGGCGAAAGCCUGACGCAGCAACGCCGCGUGCGGGAAGAAGGCCCUCGGGUUGUAAACCGCUUUCGGCAGGAACGAAAUUGACGGUACCUGCAGAAGAAGCCCCGGCCAACUACGUGCCAGCAGCCGCGGUAAUACGUAGGGGGCGAGCGUUGUCCGGAUUCAUUGGGCGUAAAGAGCUCGUAGGCGGUUCGGUAAGUCAGAUGUGAAAACUCCAGGCUCAACUUGGAGACGCCAUCUGAUACUGUCGUGACUAGAGUCCGGUAGGGGAGCACGGAAUUCCUGGUGUAGCGGUGAAAUGCGCAGAUAUCAGGAGGAACACCAGCGGCGAAGGCGGUGCUCUGGGCCGGAACUGACGCUGAGGAGCGAAAGCGUGGGUAGCGAACAGGAUUAGAUACCCUGGUAGUCG